This 60-nucleotide transfer RNA is filed under the name Otolemur garnettii (small-eared galago). It matches the Rfam family "tRNA", at positions 7 to 64 of the family's 71-position model. From Rfam's summary of the family: Transfer RNA (tRNA) molecules are approximately 80 nucleotides in length. Lineage: Eukaryota; Metazoa; Chordata; Mammalia; Primates; Galagidae. The record is from Rfam by way of RNAcentral.
GUGGCUCAAAGGAGAGGGCGCCAGUCUUAUAUGCUGGAGGCCGCAGGUUCAAACCCAGCC